Molecule: transfer RNA, 84 nt
Filed under: Thermoflavifilum aggregans
Lineage: Bacteria; Pseudomonadati; Bacteroidota; Chitinophagia; Chitinophagales; Chitinophagaceae
Also listed under: 2 other names
Description: tRNA-Leu
Rfam family: tRNA
About the family: Transfer RNA (tRNA) molecules are approximately 80 nucleotides in length. Their secondary structure includes four short double-helical elements and three loops (D, anti-codon, and T loops).
Source: RNAcentral
GCCCUGGUGGCGGAAUUGGUAGACGCGCUGGACUCAAAAUCCAGUGGUAGCAAUACCGUAUCGGUUCGAGUCCGAUCCGGGGCA